AUACGUAGGGGGCGAGCGUUGUCCGGAAUGACUGGGCGUAAAGGGCGCGUAGGCGGCGCGGUAAGUCUGGAGUGAAAGUCCUGCUUUCAAGGUGGGAAUUGCUUUGGAUACUGCCGCGCUUGAGUGCAGGAGAGGUUAUCGGAAUUCCCGGUGUAGCGGUGAAAUGCGUAGAGAUCGGGAGGAACACCAGUGGCGAAGGCGGGUAACUGGACUGCAACUGACGCUGAGGCGCGAAAGUGUGGGGAGCAAACAGGAUUAGAUACCCUGGUAGUCCACACUGUAAACGAUGAAUGCUAGGUGUAAGAGGUAUCGACCCCUUUUGUGCCGGAGUCAACACAAUAAGCAUUCCGCCUGGGGAGUACGGCCGCAAGGUUGAAACUCAAAUGAAUUGGCGGGG
Molecule: ribosomal RNA, 397 nt
Filed under: uncultured bacterium
Lineage: Bacteria
Description: partial 16S ribosomal RNA
Rfam family: Bacterial small subunit ribosomal RNA
Source: RNAcentral